UACAGAGGUCCCAAGCGUUGUUCGGAUUCACUGGGCGUAAAGGGUGCGUAGGUGGCCAGGUAAGUUUGAUGUGAAAUCUCCGGGCUUAACCCGGAAAGUGCAUUGAAUACUAUCUGGCUAGAGGAUUGGAGGGGAGACUGGAAUUCUCGGUGUAGCAGUGAAAUGCGUAGAUAUCGAGAGGAACACCAGUGGCGAAGGCGAGUCUCUGGACAAUUCCUGACACUGAGGCACGAAAGCUAGGGGAGCAAACAGG
Molecule: ribosomal RNA, 253 nt
Filed under: uncultured bacterium
Lineage: Bacteria
Description: partial 16S ribosomal RNA
Rfam family: Bacterial small subunit ribosomal RNA
Source: RNAcentral